UACCUAAAUCUUUCAUUUACUUAGAACACCAUUAAACCAUGUGUUAGGACGAUGGCUACACCGUGAUCAUAUCAUAGAGUGUUUUGUCUAUAGAUACACCAUUAUUUCUUUAACGUGUAAUUGGGCUGCCGACUAUUUUAUGCCAAUUUGAUUAACCUAGUAACACUAAAUUUUCUCUGUAUUAGGCAGUCUAACUAAAAGAAUGAUGAAAAAUUUCUUUUCUCCUCCCAUUACAUUCCAUUUCAAAUUUGGGUGUGUUUUGACAUUAAAUGGCAUGAAAUAAAAUAGUAUAUUGGUAUUUGAUUUCUGAGGGGCUGCAUAAGGAAAUAAACAUGAGUAUCCUAUCUAGAACAUCUGUUUUGGGUCUGAAUGGUGGUAUUUUCCUGCCUGCAGGCUUUUCAAUCCAGGGCAGUUGUCACUGCUUCACCACGUUGAAGGGAGAAUACCAAUUUCCAGGAUCACCAGUUUAUUUUUAUAGAUAAAAUUUAUAUUAUAAGAUACUAUUUGCCACAAUAAAAUCUGACCUUUCCCCAAUUAUUUUAUUUGUUUAGCUUAUCCAACAAAGGUAUUAACAUAUACAUUAACAACGUCGAAAGUAGCCUACUUUAAGAGAAAAUAUGCAGAAGAAGAAGAUUUACAUCAAGAUUACCAUGGGUAUUUUCCAAAACACCUGAUAUUACCUGAGGACAGAACUUGCAUUCUCAAACUUUCUCUGGAGAAGCUCAGGUUUCUUGAAGACCCAGAAACCUACUUAAGAAGGUCUGUGUUAAUUAACAAUUUGCUGAGGAAGAUACAUCUAGAGACGGAGAAAGAGAGCUAUGAAUACUUUAAAGAAGCUCCCUGUUAUAAGACUGCAUAUUCUGAUACAAGAAAACGGCUGAAGUUUAUGGUACAGGAAUGCUGUUCUCAGUCUCUCUAUUAUGAAGAGCUGCAUUCGUAUCAUAUUGUGCCUUAUGCUUCGGAGAAUGCCAUUUAUGAAAUGGGCUACACUAGCAGCCACUUGGAGCAAAAUUCUCAGUUGCUUAUUUAUAAAAUGAAUUAAAGUAACUGUUAAGUCCAUUGAUACUUUGUUUCUAAAUGCUUGAACUGUUUAUAGUGAAGAUGUUAAUAUAAGGCACUCAUUACCAGUGCACUUGAUAUCAAAGAUGAGAUGCAUGCUGAACUGAUUGGAGAGAGCAAUGG
This 1182-nucleotide small RNA is filed under the name Pongo abelii (Sumatran orangutan). RNAcentral's name for it is "retained intron". Lineage: Eukaryota; Metazoa; Chordata; Mammalia; Primates; Hominidae. The record is from RNAcentral.